UACGGAGGGGGCUAGCGUUGUUCGGAAUUACUGGGCGUAAAGCGUACGUAGGCGGCUUUGUAAGUUAGAGGUGAAAGCCCGGGGCUUAACCCCGGAAUUGCCUUUAAGACUGCAUCGCUUGAAUCAUGGAGAGGUGAGUGGAAUUCCGAGUGUAGAGGUGAAAUUCGUAGAUAUCCGGAAGAACACCAGUGGCGAAGGCGACUCACUGGACAUGUAUUGACGCUGAGGUACGAAAGCGUGGGGAGCAAACAGG
Molecule: ribosomal RNA, 253 nt
Filed under: uncultured bacterium
Lineage: Bacteria
Description: partial 16S ribosomal RNA
Rfam family: Bacterial small subunit ribosomal RNA
Source: RNAcentral